Molecule: ribosomal RNA, 254 nt
Filed under: uncultured prokaryote
Description: partial 16S ribosomal RNA
Rfam family: Bacterial small subunit ribosomal RNA
Source: RNAcentral
UACGGAGGAUGCAAGCGUUAUCCGGAUUUAUUGGGUUUAAAGGGUGCGCAGGUUGUUUGAUAAGUCAGUGGUGAAAGUCUGUCGCUUAACGGUAGGAUUGCCAUUGAUACUGUUGGACUUGAAUAUGGAUGAGGUAGGCGGAAUGUGUAGUGUAGCGGUGAAAUGCAUAGAUAUUACACAGAACACCGAUUGCGAAGGCAGCUUACUAAUCCAUCAUUGACGCUGAGGCACGAAGGCGUGGGGAUCAAACAGGA